AGUGAACGCUGGCGGUAGGCCUAACACAUGCAAGUCGAACGGCAGCACAGUAAGAGCUUGCUCUUACGGGUGGCGAGUGGCGGACGGGUGAGGAAUACAUCGGAAUCUACUUUUUCGUGGGGGAUAACGUAGGGAAACUUACGCUAAUACCGCAUACGACCUACGGGUGAAAGCAGGGGAUCUUCGGACCUUGCGCGAUUGAAUGAGCCGAUGUCGGAUUAGCUAGUUGGCGGGGUAAAGGCCCACCAAGGCGACGAUCCGUAGCUGGUCUGAGAGGAUGAAUACCCCAACCGGGAAGUGGAAACGGGUCCAGCCCCCCAGGGGGGGCAGAAGGGGGAAAUUUGGAAAAAGGGGCCAAAGCCUAUCCCGCCCAACCCGGGGGGGUGAAAAAGGCCUUGGGUUUGAAAAGCCCUUUUGUUGGGAAAAAAAAGCAGAAGGUUAAAACCCCGCUUUUUGGGGGGAACCCAAAAAAAAAGCACCGGCAAACUUGGG
RNAcentral lists this ribosomal RNA (492 nucleotides) under uncultured bacterium. Its description in RNAcentral is "partial 16S ribosomal RNA". It matches the Rfam family "Bacterial small subunit ribosomal RNA", at positions 29 to 506 of the family's 1533-position model. The record is from RNAcentral.